This 1163-nucleotide long non-coding RNA is filed under the name Parus major (Great Tit). RNAcentral describes it as "lncRNA (ENSPMJG00000009704.1)". Lineage: Eukaryota; Metazoa; Chordata; Aves; Passeriformes; Paridae. The record is from RNAcentral.
GGGUGACUCUAUCUUUCCGUACACCACGUUAUCUUCCGACCGCCGGGCCCUAGCUCCGCACACCCCCGGCACUCAGUGUAUGGGGCUGGCAGCUGUGGGCCCCGCCCAGUGGUGCACCUAGGGGUGCCAGCCUGCACCUCACACGCCGCUCCCUUCCCUGGGCAGCACAGCUUCUUCUCCAGGCUCCUGUGGCCCCGAGCCGGGUGUCGAUAAAGCCCCGGCCCAGCGGGGCUGCGGGGCGGGCGGCACCGCGGUUCCCCUGGUAGCAGCCGGCCCUCUGCCCCCUCCAGAGCCCGGCGCCAGUGGCUGCUGGCCGGGCCUCAGGGCUGUGGGAGCUCAGGGUUGUGCGGGCAGGGGAGGCCAGGGCUGGGCGCAGGGAGUGCCCGGCCGAGGGGCAGAGCCCGCGCCAACUCUUCCCUUCUGCCUCCCUCUCCAGCUGGCACAGGACAGGAAACGAGCGGCCGAGUACGCACGCCAGGCCCUGCCAUACCUGGAGAGCCGGCAGGAGCACCUGAGAGAGGUGGCCAGGAGGUUCAUCGGUGAGCCACAAGCCCGGGCUCCCUCCCCGCCCCUCCGCAGCUCGGCCCCGGCCGCGGCUGCUGCCCCAGCAGCGGCAACCGGGCCCGGCGCCCUGGAGCCCCCCCUGUCCUUGGAGCUGCUGCCGGCCUCUGGCAGCCGUGCCCCUGGGCGUCCGGGUGCAGCAAGGGCUGAGCCCUGCUGGGGCAGGAGGGCGUGUGGCCACAGGGAGCUGUGCCGCUGGGGCUCUGACAGGUUCUGUGUUCCCAGGGUCCGCCAGGAUUCUCUUGAGGGGGCAGAAGGAAGAGCUCCGAUUCCUCAGCGAGGCCCUUCAAGCCUCAAAGAAAAAAACGGUCUAACCUGUAUGUUCAAGAGCAGUUUGCCAGAGAAGCAGAAGAAUUAGUCAUCUUCAGGAUCCAGUGAACCAGUGUCCCAAGAACAGCAGGAGACACUGAAGAGGACAGACACCACCUCCCAGUGGCACUAGAGCUCCAGGCACAGCUGAGCCUGUGGGAAGCUCAAGUAGCUUCAGCCCUCUCCCUCUCUCCAGCCCUGAGACCGUGCCUACCACCUUUUUUUCCCUUCCAGCUCAUCCCUUUGCUUCAUCUUCCAAAUAAUAAACAGUUUGGCUUUUCAUUUUAUCUGCA